AGAGAAACCCCAUCCCUCUCUUUCUUUUUUACACCCCCAUGUCGCCACAUGAGAGGGAUUCGGGGGCGUAAAAGGAGAUCCUAUCAUUGUAUUACAAGAAAAGGCUGAAUAGUUAUUCCCUUCGCUCACCACUGAAUAGCCAUUUAUUCCCGUGUGAAGUAACAUUUUUUCCCUUUUCAAUUUUUGCCCUCACCUCUACCUAGAGAAUGAAGAAGCACUAGAACCAUCAUCUUCUCCCUCAGUUCAAUGUUAGAGCCAUCAAAAAGGAAUCAAGAGAUAUCGGAAUGGGGAAAUCUAGGACUUUGAGCACGAAGUGGCGGUGGCAACAAACUUGCUAGUUAUUUUAGGAUUGGAUGGUGGAACCACUUCUACUGUCUACAUUUGUAUGUCAAUUAUGUCUUUCUCUAACGCCCUUCCCAACCCUCUUCCUGUUCUCGCCCAUGCCAUCACUGGCUACUCCAAUUAUAACAGUGUCGACGAAUGCGUAUAAGUUAUGACUCUGUGAGAAAUAUGUCAAGCCUGAAGAUGUUGUAGGAGCAAAAGAAGUGAAGUCAAGUGACGAAAAAUUGAGUGAAGAUGAAUAUGCUGCCUCGGAUGAUGAGGAAAUCACCGAAAAAACAGAUCUUUAGGCACAUAUUAUGCCCUGCAUGCUCGCUACGAAAAUUGUCUUGUGUUGUACAUGAUGUUCAGCUCCAGGAAAACAGAACCAGGGAACAUGUGGAAAAAUCCUACUUACCCCUUUUUGUCAUUACUUUCCAUGGAUGUUUGUGUAAAUUAAUCCACUAUUGUUCAAUAAUUCAAAUAUUUAUCCACUGCUGAGACUUUAAAAAGCAAUUCUCCCAUAUCCUCCUA
This is a long non-coding RNA of Gossypium raimondii (Peruvian cotton), 852 nucleotides long. RefSeq lists it as uncharacterized. Lineage: Eukaryota; Viridiplantae; Streptophyta; Magnoliopsida; Malvales; Malvaceae. The record is from RefSeq and is a predicted model, not a curated record. The transcript is spliced from 3 exons.